GGAGGCCUCAGCCAAAGCCAGAGGCAGCACGGCUGUCUCCAUGGCAACGGACCCACAGCCAUGCACACAAACCCCUCUUCACUGACCCCAAAAUUCAAUUUUUUCUCCAAUAAAGAACUGUUCUGCAGUACACCUGACAACACACAAAAAGCGCAAGUACAGCAUUCCAUGCAGACUGCACCAAGGAUGCGAGCUGAACCAGACAUACUGCUGCAGGGCCCAUAAUACCUGAGGCCUGGAACCACUCAGGAAAAUGCAGAGCAGGUAGAUGUGCGCUAUGUGACUGAUUUAGAAGGUUUCAGCCAAAAAACAAUCCCAGCUUUCCUCAGUGACUGCGGCAGAAUCAAAACAUCACCUUCCUUA
Gallus gallus (chicken) is the source of this 363-nucleotide long non-coding RNA. RefSeq lists it as uncharacterized. The transcript is spliced from 2 exons. NCBI's taxonomy places the organism in Eukaryota, Metazoa, Chordata, Aves, Galliformes, Phasianidae. The record is from RefSeq and is a predicted model, not a curated record.